CAUUUCUCGGUGAGGUUUGGUUUCUUUAGAGAGGGGGACCCAGGCCAAACUGGAAACUGAGAACCGGUCCAAUCCUAACGAAGCAGGCAAGUGGGGAAUUUGGAACAUGGGGCCAAUACCUUGAUUCAGGCCAUUCCGCGUGAGUGAAGAAAGGCCUUCGGGCUUGUAAAGCUCUUUCCGCAGGAACGAAAAGGCGGGCUCUAACAUAGCCUGUCAAUGACGGUACUUGAAGAAGAAAGCACCGGCUAACUACGUGCCCAGCAGCCGCGGUAAUACGUAAGGGUGCGAGCGUUAAUCGGAAUUACUGGGCGUAAAGCGUGCGCAGGCGGUUUUGUAAGACAGGUGUGAAAUCCCCGGGCUUAACCCUGGGAACUGCGCUUGUGACUGCAAGACUUGAGUGCGGCAGAGGGGGGUGGAAUUCCACGUGUAGCAGUGAAAUGCGUAGAGAUGUGGAGGAACACCGAUGGCGAAGGCAGCCCCCUGGGUCGACACUGACGCUCAUGCACGAAAGCGUGGGUAGCAAACAGGAUUAGAUACCCUGGUAGUCCACGCCCUAAACGAUGCCAACUAGGUGUUGGGGAAGGAGACUUCCUUAGUACCGUAGCUAACGCGUGAAGUUGGCCGCCUGGGGAGUACGGUCGCAAGAUUAAAACUCAAAGGAAUUGACGGGGACCCGCACAAGCGGUGGAUGAUGUGGAUUAAUUCGAUGCAACGCGAAAAACCUUACCUACCCUUGACAUGCCAGGAAUCCUGCUGAGAGGUGGGAGUGCUCGAAAGAGAGCCUGGACACAGGUGCUGCAUGGCUGUCGUCAGCUCGUGUCGUGAGAUGUUGGGUUAAGUCCCGCAACGAGCGCAACCCUUGUCAUUAGUUGCCAUCAUUUAGUUGGGCACUCUAAUGAGACUGCCGGUGACAAACCGGAGGAAGGUGGGGAUGACGUCAAGUCCUCAUGGCCCUUAUGGGUAGGGCUUCACACGUCAUACAAUGGUCGGUACAGAGGGUUGCCAAGCCGCGAGGUGGAGCCAAUCCCACAAAGCCGAUCGUAGUCCGGAUCGCAGUCUGCAACUCGACUGCGUGAAGUCGGAAUCGCUAGUAAUCGUGGAUCAGCAUGUCACGGUGAAUACGUUCCCGGGUCUUGUACACACCGCCCGUCACACCAUGGGAGUGGGUUCCACCAGAAGUAGGUAGUCUAACCGCAAGGGGGGCGCUUACCACGGUGGGAUUCAUGACUGGGGUGAAGUCGUAACAAGGUAGCCGU
This 1256-nucleotide ribosomal RNA is filed under the name denitrifying bacterium enrichment culture clone NOA_1_C9. Its description in RNAcentral is "partial 16S ribosomal RNA". It matches the Rfam family "Bacterial small subunit ribosomal RNA", at positions 264 to 1503 of the family's 1533-position model. The record is from RNAcentral.